GGCCCGCAACGCGUCUGGGGAGCCGACAGGCAAACUCGCUGACGUUGAUCAUACGUCUUUAUACAUGCUGCCCGGAUCGAUGGACCGGGACGGAGGC
This 97-nucleotide non-coding RNA is filed under the name Desulfuromonas acetoxidans DSM 684. The record is from RNAcentral. Lineage: Bacteria; Pseudomonadati; Thermodesulfobacteriota; Desulfuromonadia; Desulfuromonadales; Desulfuromonadaceae.